Molecule: long non-coding RNA, 1531 nt
Filed under: Strigops habroptila (Kakapo)
Lineage: Eukaryota; Metazoa; Chordata; Aves; Psittaciformes; Psittacidae
Description: lncRNA (ENSSHBG00005009807.1)
Source: RNAcentral
UUUUUUUUUUUUUUUAACAAGUACAGGCAUUAGUAUGCCAACAAAUACAACUAAAGACAGGGUUUUUUUUUUUUUUUUUUUCCCCAGAAUAUCUGCUAAUUAGAAAAUGGAUGAAUCCACCUCAGGUACCACUGCCAUACAACCUCAUUACUCACCCUCUUGAAACUUUUGCUUUUACAGCAGAAACACAUUCUUUCUUAAAAUAGAAGAAUGCUACCAUUACAAGUAGUGAAAUUACUAUAAUGAUUUUUUUAUUCCUUUUAACAGAAUAACACUUUUUUGGACAUACUGUACGUAGGACUUUAUCUUUCUAUUCAUUCUAGCUAUGUUCCCAUCUAAGUGAACUACUAAGGAGACAAACACAUUUGCUGUCUGAAACAAAGUUGGAAUAUUGACUUGUUGCACAGCGUUUACUGCAGAAGCAAAACGGCUGUGGGCGUUCUUAACGCUCAUAUUGUAAGGUUACAAAGAAUAAAUUGAUCUGGAAGCACAGGACCCAUUUUCCUAAAUCUACGCAAGAACUAACAGAUGUGCAUCAGGACUAUGGAUGACAUUUUAAAAAGACAUUUAAGGCACUAUGCGCAGUCUUUUUCGUAGCCUACAUAGGCAGGACUGAAGCAGCAUUGUCAAAUAUAAUCAAUACAAAAUGAGACAAGUUAAAAACAAACAAGCCAACCAGAAAACCAACCUGAAACUCAAAUAAUUUGGUUUGAAAGUCAAGCUUUAUUAUUAAAAAGGUACAAGUAAAGGCCAAGGGUGUUUUGUUUUCCUAUUUCCAAGAUAGAACGAGGUAUGAGGACUUUGUGCCUAUGAUAUUUCUCACAAAUGUAGGGCGAGGAUUCUUUUAAAGGAUAGGUUUUGGGGGUAGGUAAGAUGCAUAAGGAGGAUAACUUAAAUUCAAAUGUGAUUGUAUGACACCUACAGUUAGGGUUUUAAAAAACACCUCUAACUUGCUAAAAAGGUUAAGUAUUGCCAAUUCAAAUGAGGGAACUGUCAGAAAAAAAAUGAAUUGCCAAGAGGCCUACCUACAGACAAGACACAGGACUUCCCUUAUGUGAAGCUGCAACCAACCAUUGCCUUCCCACAGAAAUGCAAAGCAAUACAAAUCCUCAAGUCAGUAUGUCACCUUGUAAGCCUGACACAGCUCUUUCCACGUCUGCUUCUGCAACUGGUAUUUCGACGAUCUUGAUGCCCAACGGAGAUGAGUUUACGCACCAUCGCUUUACUCUUUCCUCAUAGUUUUACACAGAUUUGUGCCUGUUUAUAGCUCCAGUUACCAGCGGUAAGAGUAUCCUUGUAAAUUUCCACACAGGCACACAAAACCUUUGCGAGGGAACGCUGCGUGAAAACGUCAAAACUUGAGCAACUCCCCAGCAUGUCCCGUAAGCAGCACCGAACGGGAUUUAAAAUGACAAGUCCUCCUCCAGAAGAGGCCCCAUGCACAGAAAUAGGCUUUGUUUGUAAGAAAGAACCACAAACCAACCAACCAGAGGGCCCUACUUCCCCCCAGUGCCAGCGCCGCUCCCUGCAU